Molecule: ribosomal RNA, 384 nt
Filed under: Triticum aestivum (bread wheat)
Lineage: Eukaryota; Viridiplantae; Streptophyta; Magnoliopsida; Poales; Poaceae
Description: partial small subunit ribosomal RNA
Source: RNAcentral
AUGUGUCUAAUUUUCAAAAUGUAUAUGUUUGCAGUCACAAAUGAUAAAGUUUCCCCUGGCAAACUUUCAUGCGAACUGGUGCCAGUGAAAGAGGAGCCACAUGAGAGCAAUGGGACUACAUUAAACAAAGAUAAGCAUCAAGACAAAAUAUCAUCAUCAUCACGUGAGCUCCGCAGUGGCAAUAAAAGGAGACUAAGAUCUGUUGUAAUAUCAGAUGGGUCGGAGGAUGUAUGCAGUCAGACGAAUAUGCCUGAACAAAAGGAAAAAAGUGUCCGCGGUAACAAGAAACAUGUUAAAGCAAAAGCCAAAAUUCAAUGCUUGAAGAUGAAGAUGAAGUACGGAAAGCAAAGCCCAGGAGAAAAAGGAUGUUAUCUAGAUAAUUAG